AUUGAACGCUGGCGGCAUGCCUUACACAUGCAAGUCGAACGGCAGCACGGGGGCAAUCCUGGUGGCGAGUGGCGAACGGGUGAGUAAUGUAUCGGAACGUGCCCAGUCGUGGGGGAUAACGUAGCGAAAGCUACGCUAAUACCGCAUACGAUCUCUGGAUGAAAGCGGGGGAUCGCAAGACCUCGCGCGAUUGGAGCGGCCGAUAUCAGAUUAGGUAGUUGGUGGGGUAAAGGCCCACCAAGCCUGCGAUCUGUAGCUGGUCUGAGAGGACGACCAGCCACACGGGAAAUGGGACACGGUCCAGACUCCUACGGGAGGCAGCAGUGGGGAAUUUUGGACAAUGGGCGCAAGCCUGAUCCAGCAAUGCCGCGUGCAGGAUGAAGGCCUUCGGGUUGUAAACUGCUUUUGUACGGAACGAAACGGCUUUUUCUAAUACAGAGAGCUAAUGACGGUACCGUAAGAAUAAGCACCGGCUAACUACGUGCCAGCCGCCGCGGUAA
RNAcentral lists this ribosomal RNA (500 nucleotides) under uncultured bacterium. Its description in RNAcentral is "partial 16S ribosomal RNA". It matches the Rfam family "Bacterial small subunit ribosomal RNA", at positions 30 to 523 of the family's 1533-position model. The record is from RNAcentral.